AAUCACUCUUGGUACUUCAAAUAAUCUCUCUUCGUUCAUGUUUGCUAGAAGAAGAAAUUUAAUUCCUUUCUUUUAAGUGUGUUUUUUGGAUUGAAGGGAAGUAACGUUUAAGUUUGGGUAUCCUGUUUAUUUUAUUGGGUUGCCUAUUUGAUUGAUAACUUGACAUAUUUAUUGAAUUAUUUUCUUUCUGCUUGUGAUGACUCUACAUUCCAAGUGAAGAUUCAAUUUGGCUAUUGGGAAAAUAAGGGAGAAGAAGAGAAAACUUUUGGGUUUGUCGUUUGGUAGAUUUUGGUUCAAAUGGUUGUGUUAUGUGAACUAGAGAAGAAUGCUGUGCAAGCAAGCAAUAAUGUUACUAGGAAUUGUUGGCUUUUGCAUGUCUUCUUUUCUGGUUUUAAAGUUUAUGAAAGGAGCCAAAUUGUGAAUUUUCAAUUUCCACAACCUCUAGUUGGUUGAUUAGAAUUAGGACAUAACAAGAGAAAAAAUUUCUGAAUUGUCCAACUUACAGAAGCCUACAAUUUUCCCAUAAUUUGAAUAUUCUGUCAUUGGCAUUUUAAUAGAAAAGGUUAUGAAAAGAAAAAGAAGCUAAAAGAAAAGGCAGUAAAAUAUCAGAAUGGAUGAUAGCUCCACUAAGCUAAUCUAAAUGUUUUUCAUUAGUUUUAAAUAACAAACUAAGUGAAAAAACAAUGGAUGUAGCUCCACUAAGCUUAAACUAACACUUAGGUGAACUCAACUAAGCUACUUGAUCAUAGUUGAUGCUGAAGUAAAUUAAUCAAAUUCAUAAUAUACUGAAAUAGUUCUGGUUCCUAUAGACUAUUGUAUCUUUUAUUGGGGAUUACACUCUCUCUGUUUCUUGUUUCUGUUGCUUUGAAUUAUUUUUCUCUUUGGUCAGUCAAGUCCAUUACAUGCUUAGUAUCAGAACCAGUUAUUAUGCAAAUGCAAUUAGUAGCCUCCAAUGUGAUUUACUUUGUAUUUUUUUCUACUCACGUUAGUUUCCUUUAUCUGAUUCUUUCCCAUCUAUCCUACAGAGUCUUGAUCCCUUUUCACUAUUCCAUUUUCAUUGAUAAAAUAUUGAUGGGAUCGAAUUGCAUUAGUUGCCACUUUUAGUUUAUUGAUGGGUGCAUUAGCUACAUAACAAGUGUCUAUUUUCUAUUCUUUUGAUGAGGUAUGAUUUAUGGAUUUGUUACUAAUGUUUUAUCCCUUUUGUUCACAAGCUUUUGAAGUCAAAAUGGCAAUAAAAUGCUAAUUAAUAAACAUAUUUCUCAGCUUCAACCUUGCAUUAACUUAAUGAAGAACAAUUGCCUCCAUGAUUUUAGCCGCCUUCAACCCAAAUCCUUGAAAAUUCUUACUAUAUAAAUAUUAGUUUGAUUUCACUUUAUAACAAGACAAAAAUUAAGUCAGGGGAAGCAUAUUUGGGCCUCAUACUUUCUUUGAUUGAAGUUAAUUUUAGUCAUUAGUAGCAUUUCUUUAAUUUAAUAAAAUCCUAGAAUAUCUAUUCAUUUACUGCAUUUUGCUACUGUGACAAAAAAAAAAAACAAGAGUACUGAUAAUCCAGAACAGCCCCAUUUGUGUUACAGGUGACCACAAUGAAUCUAUGUUUGCCUUACCACAUAACUGAUUUCCUAAACAAUUUGCACAUUUCUCAUAGUAGUUUGUAGGUGGCCAAUAAGAAACCUACUCUAGCGCCUGGCAGGAUGUUGCUAGAGAUCCUUGUACUGAGAUUUAUUUGCUUGAUUGAAGUUCUGGACAUGAACAAUCUAUUCUGAAGGGGUCAAGUCGCAAAUGUUAUUUCUGACAGAUUUGUGGAAGGCAUUUCUAGAGGUUUUGUUGUCGUUUAGCUAAAAUAGAAUGUGCUAUUGCACACCCUAAUAGCUAGCACUAAAUCAGCUGGAUUAUUGGUACUUCUGAAUCCUGUGUCAGCAUACUGCUUCUUGGCUACGGUAUUGGUUUAUAGCCGAUUUUAUAUCUUUUAUUUUGUAUAGGCUUCUUUUGUUGUC
RNAcentral lists this unclassified non-coding RNA (1994 nucleotides) under Hevea brasiliensis (rubber tree). The record is from RNAcentral. Lineage: Eukaryota; Viridiplantae; Streptophyta; Magnoliopsida; Malpighiales; Euphorbiaceae.